CGAGUGGUUCGGUGGGCCGGCACGUUUACUUUGAACAAAUUUGAGUGCUCAAAGCAGGCCGAUUGUUGCCUGAAAAUUGUGUGCAUGGAAUAAUGGAACAGGACCUUGGUUCUAUUUUGUUGGCUUUUCUGAACUCGAGGUAAUGAUUAACAGGGACAGACGGGGGCAUUCGUAUUGCGACGUUAGAGGUGAAAUUCUUGGAUCGUCGCAAGACGAACCGAUGCGAAAGCGUUUGCCAAGAAUGUUUUCGCUAAUCAAGAACGAAAGUUAGAGGUUCGAAGGCGAUCAGAUACCGCCCUAGUUCUAACCAUAAACGAUGCCAGCCAGCGAUGCGCCGAAGUUCCUCCGAUGACUCGGCGCGCAGCUUCCGGGAAACCAAAGCUUUUGGGUUCCGGGGGAAGUAUGGUUGCAAAGCUGAAACUUAAAGGAAUUGACGGAAGGGCACCACCAGGAGUGGAGCCUGCGGCUUAAUUUG
Molecule: ribosomal RNA, 475 nt
Filed under: Caenidae environmental sample
Lineage: Eukaryota; Metazoa; Arthropoda; Insecta; Ephemeroptera; Caenidae
Description: SSU rRNA
Rfam family: Eukaryotic small subunit ribosomal RNA
Source: RNAcentral